UUUAAAUAUUUUUAUUCAGUAAUGAUAAAUACUUGUGGGUGAAUGCAGGCUUGGCGGAGCUUGAGCAUAGGGAGCAAAGUCCUGUUGACCAACUGUCUAUCAAGGGCCUUUAUUGGAGUGUUGCGAUCUGGGAAUCUUCCAAGCAGAAAAAUGAAUAAUGAUACUUACCACAAGGUAUAGAAUUUCUUAGAGCCCAUACUUGCUUAGUUUCGCUGAGAAGGCCUGCGAACACUCGUUGUGCAUACUCUGGUAAAAGUAGCCUUCAACGGGGCUGAAGUGUAUCAUGUGCAUUACGGUCGUUUGUGGUGGUAUCUGUAGCAUGUGGAAGACGUCCUUCUUCGAGUUGCGCCACAUGACAGGACAGAUGAAUCCAUGGAACUCGUGCUCCUCUUCCACCAGUGAGUUCCAGUUGGACAAGUUGUCGUAUGGCUGGAUCCUCAAGAACUGAACUAGGCCAAACAAAUCUGGAUUUUUGAAUAGGGGUCCCAGUGAUGGCCCAGCGAUACUUGGCAUUUAGGCAACGGACCAUCAUCGCCGUCUUGGAUGUGCUCCCCUCGACCAUCUGUGCCUCAUCUAAGCAGAGCCUCCACCACGAAAUGCAGGUCAGUGGUGUGACCGGGGCAUGGUAGCGUUUCGCAUGUCGCAGCUUCCGCUGUGUAUUCUCUUCCAGGGAAUAAUCCAGUUCCUUGCACAACACCUGAAGCAAAUGUAAUAAACAUAUAUUAUUGGUGUGAUGGUGCCGCAAAUAUGGGAUGAAUGAGUGACAAAAGCUAGCAUUUUGCCUCUUUGAGUAGAAAAUGAAAAGCAGGAAAAAAAAAUCAUGGACUAAUAAGUCAACAAGCAUAUCUUAUGAUGUGAACCAGCUUGAAGUAUUUCAGAGCACAGGAAGCCAAAACACAUAUGACAGACCAAAACAGCAAUGAUAGUCAUGGUUCAUCAUUCUGUAAAUCCCAAGGGGAAAUCUCAAAGCUAAAUAAAUUU
This is a long non-coding RNA of Cimex lectularius (bed bug), 981 nucleotides long. RefSeq lists it as uncharacterized. The record is from RefSeq and is a predicted model, not a curated record. NCBI's taxonomy places the organism in Eukaryota, Metazoa, Arthropoda, Insecta, Hemiptera, Cimicidae. The transcript has 3 exons.